GACGAACGCUGGCGGCGUGCUUAACACAUGCAAGUCGAACGGGAUCCAAAGGCUUUUUGUUUUUGGUGAGAGUGGCGAACGGGUGAGUAACACGUGAGUAACCUGCCCCCUUCUUUUGGAUAACCGCAUGAAAGUGUGGCUAAUACAGGAUAUUCCAGGCUGGUCGCAUGAUUGGUUUGGGAAAUGGUUUGGUCUGGUGGGGGAUGGGCUCGCGGCCUAUCAGCUUGUUGGUGGGGUGAUGGCCUACCAAGGCGGUGACGGGUAGCCGGCCUGAGAGGGUGGGCGGUCAGACUGGGACGGGGAGACGGCCCAGACUCGUACGGGAGGCAGCAGUGGGGGAUUUUGCACAAUGGGCGCAAGUCUGAUGCAGCGACGCCGCGUGAGGGAUGAAGGCCUUCGGGUUGUAAACCUCUUUCGCUGGGUUGAAAGGCCAUGCUUUGGGUGUGGUUGAUUUGAACUGGUAAAGAAGUACCGGCUAACUACGUG
RNAcentral lists this ribosomal RNA (486 nucleotides) under uncultured bacterium. RNAcentral describes it as "partial 16S ribosomal RNA". It matches the Rfam family "Bacterial small subunit ribosomal RNA", at positions 28 to 507 of the family's 1533-position model. The record is from RNAcentral.